UACGUAGGGUGCGAGCGUUAAUCGGAAUUACUGGGCGUAAAGCGUGCGCAGGCGGUUAUUUAAGCCAGACGUGAAAGCCCCGGGCUUAACCUGGGAAUGGCGUUUGGGACUGGAUAGCUAGAGUACGGCAGAGGGAGGUGGAAUUCCACGUGUAGCAGUGAAAUGCGUAGAGAUGUGGAGGAACACCGAUGGCGAAGGCAGCCUCCUGGGCCAGUACUGACGCUCAUGCACGAAAGCGUGGGGAGCAAACAGG
This 253-nucleotide ribosomal RNA is filed under the name uncultured bacterium. RNAcentral's name for it is "partial 16S ribosomal RNA". It matches the Rfam family "Bacterial small subunit ribosomal RNA", at positions 524 to 776 of the family's 1533-position model. The record is from RNAcentral.